GAAAAUACAAAGAAAGAGACAGACAGAUUUUAAGACUUAUAGAGAGACUGUGGAUGGUGGAAACAGUUAGACACUGAAAUUUGUGAAUCACUCUAGAGUAGCCUUCUGAAUAGUUAGGAAGUGCCGUAGCUCGCGUUAAGAGAUAAAGGCUAUAUCAUGGAUAUAGUAAAUAAAGGUGGUACCGCGUUUAAGACGUCCUUUAG
Molecule: non-coding RNA, 203 nt
Filed under: Eggerthia catenaformis
Lineage: Bacteria; Bacillati; Bacillota; Erysipelotrichia; Erysipelotrichales; Coprobacillaceae
Description: T-box sequence
Rfam family: T-box leader
About the family: Uncharged tRNA acts as the effector for transcription antitermination of genes in the T-box leader family. T-boxes are found upstream of many aminoacyl-tRNA synthetase genes and some amino acid biosynthetic genes usually in Gram-positive bacteria.
Source: RNAcentral